UCUCAGUUUCCUUCCCCACGCACGCGACCCCUGUCUCUCUUUCCUUUCCUCUCCUCCAACCCCCGCCCCUUUCCUGCUGCUUCGCCGCCGCCGCCUCUUUCUCCGCCAAAUCCACCGCGCGCCGCCCGUGCCCGUGCCCUCCUCACCUCCCGUCACGAGCUCCACCUGCCCCAGCCUCGUAUACCCCGAUCUUCUCGAAUUGGAUCUCGGGAGCACACAGGAGGGGAGGCGAGGUGCCUGCGCUGGCGGCAACGGUGCGUGGGUGCGGCUGAUGUCCACGUCCGCGGCCUCGCAGGCCAAGGAUGCGGCGGCCAAGACGGCGGAGGCGGCCAAGGGCGACGGGGAGAAGAAGGAGGUGGCGAUUACGUCAAGGACGCUCUUUGCUUGCUCUGCUCUGCUCUGGUUUCCCCAUUUCGAUUACGUCACCGGCGAGGGGUCGUCAGAUCGUAGCGUGUGUGCGGUUGAUGGGCGCUAUUAUUUUAUUAACAUGUUGCGCCGCCGCCGUGUGUGAUUGAUUGGUUUUGCUGCCACAGCAACCAUGGAAGAUGUUCGAGUGGCAGGGUGGCCCCAUCAUCCUCGCCCAGGUGGAGACGGGUACAUGGAGUAGGCGAUGGGCGGCGGCGCCAAGCCGUACGCCAACUAGGCCACCAAGAUGGUCGUCGCCACUGACGCCAGCUUGCCGUGGGUGGUGUGCAAGCAUGACGAUGCUCCCGACGCCGCGGACAUCACAUCACUGAAUCAAGGUGCCAACUUUGGAGCCUGAUUCGUGAUGGCUGCAAAAAAAUACCUGCAAUGGCUUCUACUGCAACUACUUCGGCCCCAACUCCAACAGCAAGCCUACCAUGUGGACCGAGGCCUUGCCUGGAUGUUCACGACAUUUGGUGGCGCGGUGCCGCACCGGCUGGUGGAGGACAUGGCGUUCGUGGUGGUAAGGUUCAUUCAGAAGUGCGGGUCCUUCGUCAACUACUACAUGUACCAUGGACUGGACCGCCGAUGGCCUGUUCAUCGCGACAAGCUACGACCAUGAUGCACCAUUCGACGAAUAUGAUCUGCUUAGGCAGCUGAACUGGGGACACCAGAGGGACCUGCACAGGGCCAUCUAGCAGGCCGAGCGGGUGCUCGUCUCCGGCGAUCCCUCCAUCCAGUGGAUCGGGAACUAUGAGAAGAGGAGGCCCUGGCUCGGACAACCGCCGCAGUGUCGGGUGCGCCGGUGAGGUCCCUGGGGUCGGUGCGGCGGGCGUGACCCCUCCCGGCUCCCCGCCCUCGUCCGCGACAACGAGGACCAAGAUGCAUUUACGGUGUUGUCUGGUGCGUCGUCAGGUUUGGUUGGUCGAGGCCAGGUAUGAGUAGCUCCUGAGGCUGAUGGAUGGAUGGAUGGAGAUACCAGGGUCAUGUCGCUGGGUGGGCAAAGACCGGGGGUACAACCUCCUUUUCAGUAAAAAAAUGAGGGGCGAUGAUGAUGUGGCUGAAAUAAGCAUGUCUUGAGCAAUCAAGACUGCUGUAGCCUGUGGGUACUAAAUUAGAGCCCACUCUUACCUCUCUGGCAGCCUGUUCAAUUCAUUGGUGAUGUUGGAUGUUCUGCACCUCGGAUGGUCAUUCUGACGAGUGAUAACCAGGGCAGUUCGUCUACAUUGUGAUGUUUAUGUUAUGCAGCAAGAGAUCUGAGUGUUGGGCUUGAAGAUCAAAGACAAAACUGAGCCCUCUUUUGCUAUGCUACAAAUACACAAAUUUUCCUUAUCUAUUAUACAGUGUUCUUCUUUCUUUUCUAUUCCUCUGUUGUGUUGAUGUGAGUGAAGAUCCAUCUGGACUUGGGAUUUAUGUCUUUUUUUGGUGAUGAACACAACCACCCUAAGCUUACAUGAAUUGGUUCAUGGUUGCGCUGGACAUUCCCAUGACGCCGCCGGCGCCAACGCCACGGCUUCUGCUUCUUACCCAACCAAGGUGAGCCGGUCCAGCUACUGCUAGCAUGUCUUAUGCUGCUCGCACACUCACAAUGUUGUGCCAAAAGGGAAGUUAUUUUCAUCUGUGUCUGCUGAAGCAUAGACUGCUAACCCACCGUCAAAACUAAAGCCUGGAAUUGAUCUAUGUUUCUAUAUGUAUGACAGAGAUGAAUCAGUUGAUUUUUUUAGCAACCAUAUGAACCAGUUAGAGAACCUUCUCGUUAUAAUUGUUGUCAAAUCAGUAAGUUUUGCUUUAUAUGAGAAUUCAGUGUCAGUCUCAUGUUGUAGACGUUCAUGACCUUUCUUUUUUCUCUUUGCAGAGUUAUGAUGCUACUACUCACUUUGAGACAAUUGUGACAUGUGUUCUUAACAGUUUUCGCAAAAAUGUUGACAUUUCUUCAGUUUUAUAUAUGCAUGAGUGAAUUUAAUCUUUUCUGUUCAAAUACUUCAUGUUUUCCCUCAGUUUUUUUUGUGCACCAGUUGGAUAGAUGAUAAAUUGGUAAGCUUCUUUCUCUUUCUUUGGGACAUGGGUAUUGAUGUUAGUAUUUUGUAUCAUUAUCUUAACCUUGGUAGACUGAUGGUUAGCAUCAGGCAACUGCAGAGAUUUAUUGAUUUUUAUAGUCCCCUUCUAUAUAAAUCUUAUAUUUGUUCUGUUCGUCAUCAGUGAAAACUUACCUAACUAUUGUUAAUCUGAGUUUGUAUUUUCAUAUGUGUUCACCAAUUCGGCUUCUGGGUGGCAAGAUUAGCUGAUUUAAAGCAUUCUCUUUGGGCAAACAUUAGUCACUGCUAUCCAAAAAUCUGCAGAACGAGCUUGUUGUAUACUUGUUUUAACUCACACAUAAGGGGCAAAUAAGCACGAAUGGAAAAGGAACACAUAAGCUUUCUUUAGUUGUGCUCACUUUACGUUAGUGGACAAAGUUACAUAAGUUUGCCUGUAGCACUACUAAUAUUAGCGAUUAAAUUUAGCUGCUUUUUAGUUCUAUAGGCUGAAAAUGAUACUGAGGUUCUAAGCAUACUAUUUGAGUGGGUUUUCUUCUUGAUGUGCAGCUAAAUUAGUCUUCCAGUUUGUCAACUUAGAUGAUAAGAAUUAUAAAUUCGUGUGUAAUUUUCAUUUGUUGGCGCUGAACACAUAGAUGGGUGUUUGGCGUCCUUUUUUCUUUAUCCAAUUAGACAGUGUUAGUGCUUGUGUAAAGAUACAACUAGAAUUGCUCCGUUCGCUAGAUAAAAUGAUUUUGUAUCCAAAUUUUGUUUACCUCUUUCCGAUUUGUUGCAAUGACUUCGUUAAUUUGUACUCUUUCCGUCUGAAAAAGCUUGUCCCAAGCUUGUUCCUCAAAUGGAUGUAUCUAGCACUAACUUGGUGCUAGAUACAUCCAUUUAAGGGACAAGCUUUUUUGGACAGAGGGAGUACAUGUUGGGUUCUCCUUGGAAAAACCUUUGUAAUUGAUAUUGAAAUGGCAGGAUAAUCAAGCUUCCUUUCUGUACUGGAAGAAGCCAAACAGUGUGUAGUUACACACAUCAAUGGUACCGUCUAUCGGGUUAGGGCGACCAUGAGCGAGGUUGUUCCCUUCUCUGGGAGUAAACCCGAUCCAGUCACCUAAGUUAAUGUCGUCUACGAGCAGGUCAACCCCACCAUCUCUGCCCCCCUUUUCAUGGCGGCUUUGGACGAUAGAUGAAUCGAGAUUGUCCCUUUCGUCCACUCACAUCCUCAGUUAGUAACUUCCCAAUCCUCUCUCUCUCUCUCUCUCUCUGUGUGUGUGUGUGUGUGUGUGUGUGUGUGUAUUGCUUGAUCCAUAUAUCACAAGUGAAUAUCUGGUUCUAGCAUGAACUUUGCAGUAUACAAAAUCUGAACUUGUGAUCAUGUUUCAUGGUCAAGGUUCUGUACUAAACAGAAGGAAAUACUAUGAAGCAUAUAUUUUAAUUUUCAAGCAAAUAGAUCAUAAGCCUGCAAAAAAAAGUUAGAUCACAACUGUUGUGUGCAUGUAAGGUCACACAAAUUUCAGUGUUCUUCGAAGUAAUUCUCUUAGAUCUUUGUGUGGGUUUUCGAUUUUUGCAGAUUUUGUGAUGGAAUUCUCUUAAAUUUUCUCCAUAACUCUGUUGUCGGAACAUGGCUCUUUGGGAAUUAGGCCAUUUACAAUAAAAGGAAAACAGUACCACCAGUGGGAUGUGAUAUAGUGUUGAAGCAAGGCCCAUCUUGCAAUUCAAUACCCAUGCUAUUGUGUUUUUCAUCUUGAAGUUGAAUUUCUUUUUCGACUCUUUACAUAUCAUAGAUGAAAUAUGAAUGACUAAUCUCGAUGCAGAUUAUCACCACAUGACCAUUGCAUCCAUGUAGCGCGCUCACUUUUAUAAAGCACAUCAUUCCUUUCUUUAUAAAGCACACCAUUCCUUUCAUGCUGAUGGGUGAACAAUUAUGCUGCAUCAUUUGUAUGUCUCGAUUUUUGUUUAAUCCAAAGGCCUUUGAUUUUAAUAGAGGUCAUUCUUUUAUAUUAACUGUGUACAGGUGAAAUCCCUUUUGUCAUGACAUAUUUCUCUUAUAUGCAUACAAAUUAUUAUGGGCGAUGAAUCCAGGUGUCGUUUGUCAAGGUGAUAUUGCCUUAUUCAAACAAAAGGUUCAUGAGAAAGGUAGUUAUUGGUGUUUCUGCACUAGAGCAUUCAGAAUGGUAAUGUGACAUUACUUUAGUGACUGACAAUGCCAAAAGGCACUUAAAAUGUAAGGAAAGUUAUCUCAAGAUAAGCACAACACAUAUUUACUAUAAGGAUGCAGAUUUAUUCAA
Triticum dicoccoides is the source of this 4711-nucleotide RNA transcript. It is a transcript of the gene named beta-galactosidase 4-like, with no coding region annotated. The transcript has 8 exons. NCBI's taxonomy places the organism in Eukaryota, Viridiplantae, Streptophyta, Magnoliopsida, Poales, Poaceae. The record is from RefSeq and is a predicted model, not a curated record.